UUCGUACUUUUCAAACAGUCCAUAUAAAGCAUGAUAGCAUAUUGUUUUAGGUCUUGAUCGUGUGAAUUAUGCUCGAUCGUUACCGACCCGUCUCCGAGAUAUGACUUCCCUUCCCGAACAUCACCCACAGGUGGCGAUGGAAUUUGAAAAUGAUAAUUUCACUGUACGUAAGACCAGCAAAUUUCUUUCUUAUUACACAAUUGAUCAGGCACAAAAACAGAAUAAUGCAAUUGUGAAGGGCG
RNAcentral lists this long non-coding RNA (242 nucleotides) under Mytilus galloprovincialis (Mediterranean mussel). Lineage: Eukaryota; Metazoa; Mollusca; Bivalvia; Mytilida; Mytilidae. The record is from RNAcentral.